This is a long non-coding RNA of Pogonomyrmex barbatus (red harvester ant), 745 nucleotides long. RefSeq lists it as uncharacterized. The record is from RefSeq and is a predicted model, not a curated record. Lineage: Eukaryota; Metazoa; Arthropoda; Insecta; Hymenoptera; Formicidae.
UAGCAAAAAAUAAAGAGUAAGUUAAUCCGAUAUUAAAAUAAACCUACGUUGUUGGAAUCUGGCAUUAAUGAUACAAAUCAAACCCACUAAAUAGACUUGGUUCUUAGAAUGUGACAAUUAAGAGAUUGAUGUUGAGAAUACAAUUUUUAAUAUAAAAACAUUGAUCAUGAAAUAUAUCAUCUGUCUAAAAGUCAUUCUUAUCUUAUAUAAAUUAUUCUACCAUAUUUUAUAAAUAUAAAAAUUAUAUUUAUUAUAAAAAAAACGAGAUCAUUGAUGUCUAAAAUUAUACUCUCUAAUUGCACUAUAUAUUAUACUCUCUAAUUGCACUAUAUAUUAGCACUGUACAUUUCAAUGCUAGAAUUGUUAAUAUUUAUUUUUAUAUCUCUGUAUCUUUUAUAUGAGCGCUCGAUUGUCCGUUGCCGAUUGACCAAUUUAAAAUAAAAUUUGAUUGAUUGAUCCAGUGAAAAAUCUUCUGACACCUGUCAUUGUAAGUAGCUGUAUAUCUAAUUAAAACAUGGUCAAACGGGAUGCUAUCCUUUUACAUAAAUGCCAUCAUGUUAUUUCGCAACAUGUUGUUGGACUCAGAUAACAGAGAAUGAUGGAAAAAAUGACAAAAUGAUGUUGCGAUAGCAGAGUACAUGUUGACUGAACAGAAUAUAUUCAGUAGACACUCACUCAAUAAUUGUAUGUACAAUGGUGUUUUUUAAAUGCAAUAAUUACCAAUAAAUCUUUAUUCCGAUCUCUA